Molecule: ribosomal RNA, 933 nt
Filed under: Pertusaria leioplaca
Lineage: Eukaryota; Fungi; Ascomycota; Lecanoromycetes; Pertusariales; Pertusariaceae
Description: partial large subunit ribosomal RNA
Rfam family: Bacterial large subunit ribosomal RNA (bases 49-409)
Source: RNAcentral
ACAGAACUGUGAUCUCAAAGAACUUGCAUAUUAUAAUUAUAAAUAAAGAAUAUAUAUAUUUUUUGUUUUUUUAAUAAUGUGACAUUUUACCCAUUGGGGGGGUGUUAAAACCCUAUUCGUGAGUAUUUGCACUCGAAAGGGCUAUGAUUGUGGUGAAUAAUCAGACAUAGUACGAUAAGGUUGUAUGUCUAAAGGGAAACAGCCCAGAACAAGAGUUAAUAAGGUUCCAAAAUUAUGGUUAAGUGAAAAUAAGGUAGUGUUUAUCUUAUUCGACUAGGAAAUAGGCUUGGAAGCUGCCAUUUUUUGAAGAUCUCGUAAAAGAGCACUAGUUUGUUAAAUGGAUAAUUGCACCAAAAAUUUAACGGAUCUAAACUAUAUACCGAUACCUUGUACAUAAAUAGUUAUAUGUCUUAGAGAUAUAUAAUAUAUAUGGGGUAGCAGAACGUAGGGCAAAUAUUAGAUUAUUUCUUUUUAAGAACUAAAAUUAUAUUACCCUAGUGAUAAUGCUGACAUGAGUAACGAUAAAGGGAAAUAGUUUAGUGUUUACACUAAACUAAUAAAAUAAUUCCCUCGCCUAAAGCUUAUGGUAUUCUAUUAAAGUAACGGCCUCUAAGUUUAUUAUUGGUUUAACAAAUCCUAAAGGACUAAACGAUGAGUAAAUCUUUAUGUUUAUAUAAAUAACCUUAAGUAUAAAAAAAAAUAUUUUUGUAUAAAAAUGUUCAUUAGAUCAUUCAGUGAUCCACGUCUGCGCUUUCACAUAUAAAUUUACCAGCAACAGAUUAAUAUGUUGCUGAGGUUUCACGAGGUGUUGGCCGCGCUGUAAACCGCGUUUGCGAUUUUUAUAUAUAAAAGAUAUUUUUUUUAUAAGUGACAAAGGUUCUGGAAAAUAUUAUAUUAUACAACCGUACCUAGAUACUACCCCAAGUAAGUUAG